UACGUAGGUGGCAAGCGUUGUCCGGAAUUAUUGGGCGUAAAGCGUACGCAGGCGGUUUCUUAAGUCUGAUGUGAAAGCCCACGGCUCAACCGUGGAGGGUCAUUGGAAACUGGGGAACUUGAGUACAGAAGAGGAGAGUGGAAUUCCACGUGUAGCGGUGAAAUGCGUAGAGAUGUGGAGGAACACCAGUGGCGAAGGCGACUCUCUGGUCUGUAACUGACGCUGAGGUACGAAAGCGUGGGGAGCGAACAGG
RNAcentral lists this ribosomal RNA (253 nucleotides) under uncultured bacterium. RNAcentral describes it as "partial 16S ribosomal RNA". It matches the Rfam family "Bacterial small subunit ribosomal RNA", at positions 524 to 776 of the family's 1533-position model. RNAcentral also lists the same sequence under 1 other name. The record is from RNAcentral.